RNAcentral lists this transfer RNA (72 nucleotides) under Camelus bactrianus (Bactrian camel). It matches the Rfam family "tRNA". From Rfam's summary of the family: Transfer RNA (tRNA) molecules are approximately 80 nucleotides in length. Their secondary structure includes four short double-helical elements and three loops (D, anti-codon, and T loops). Further hydrogen bonds mediate the characteristic L-shaped molecular structure. tRNAs have two regions of fundamental functional importance: the anti-codon, which is responsible for specific mRNA codon recognition, and the 3' end, to which the tRNAs corresponding amino acid is attached (by aminoacyl-tRNA synthetases). tRNAs cope with the degeneracy of the genetic code in two manners: having more than one tRNA (with a specific anti-codon) for a particular amino acid; and 'wobble' base-pairing, i.e. permitting non-standard base-pairing at the 3rd anti-codon position. Lineage: Eukaryota; Metazoa; Chordata; Mammalia; Artiodactyla; Camelidae. RNAcentral also lists the same sequence under 2 other names. The record is from Rfam by way of RNAcentral.
GAAGGUAUAGCUCAAUAGUAGAGUGCAUGCUUCGCGUGCAUGGAGCCCUGGGUUCAAUCUCUAGUACCUCCA